GAAAGAGGCGGAGUCACCACAGCGUUGUGCGCCUAGUCGGCGCUCGCUAAAUAUCAUCGAUGGCCUGAGGGGGGGGAAGGGGCGGAGCCUCCUGAGGAGGGGGCGGGAAAGAGGCGGACUCACCGGGAGGGGCUGCCCAGGGGGUGGUGGAGUCGGCGGGAUCUUCGGUGAGGGGCGAGCGCCGCCGCCUCCGGCCCGCAGGCCCUGGCUGAGGGAGUCCCGGCCCAUCCCCUCCCCUCCCCUCCCCUCCCCCCCAGCGGAGGCCGCGCCGUGCGGGAGGAAGGGACCCCCCCCCGCCCCCCCACCCGGCCCCGGCGCAGGGCGGGGGUGGCGCCCCCUAGGGAGGGAACCGAGCAGCUGUGGGGGGGGGGGCGAGGAGCAUGCGCAGAAGGGGCGGGCCCGGGAGCGGGGCCUCCAGCCCUCGCCGCUCCCUCGAGGCGUCGCACGGAGCCAGAGGGAACGGGGAGACGGCUGGAUUCAUUCAUUCGAUAGUACUUAUCCAACGCUUACUAUGUGCAGAGCACUGUACUGAGCGCUUGGAAUACACAAGUCGGCAACAGAGAGACAUCCCUCGCGUGCGUUUUGUUGGACGCCCACGUGCCGAGGCGUGCUGCUUUCCAAAGAAGGGGAGGAACGCAGUAAGCGCUUAAUUAAUGUGAUUGAAUCGAUGAAUGAAGAAAAAAGCCCACCCAAAUUACAACUGAAUAAACCCCACCUGCACGGUCUCCACCUAAGUUCAUUGCCCACCCGGCAGCCCCUUUCUGCCCGCCUCUGUCUCGGUGGCAGAGAAGCUCCCCUUAGAAGCUGCCUUGCAGGUACCAAUCCCCAAGAAGACCUGCAGUAAAUUGUAAACUGCCUCCCCAAAUCAGCCAGAUGCUACGGGCUGACAAGUCUAAGGAAAACCGAGGUCACAGACCAGCCUGUGCCCAGAAAACCGCAUCCAACUCCAAAAUCUAUACUGAUGACAUAGAGCUUAAAAGCUGUUGCAGAAUUCUGCUACCAUAGCAGCGUGCUGACCAAUGACACGAUGACAGACAGGGAAACAAAGAAGAAGGCCAGCACAUCCUCUGGGAGAGUGUCAGAGUGUGCGGUACCAGGAUCCAGACCAAACGAUAGGUCUACUGAAUGGUGGACUAGGCCGGUCUUCUCAUUAGCUAUGUGACCUGGAUCAUAGUUCCACCUGUGUCACUUAUGGGUCAGAUGAAAUAUUAGAAGGCAAGAUCAUAAACAAGGUCACGAUCAUGAGGUCUGUCCCCUAGUAUCGAAAUUAUGCUCAUUUUAACUUUGUUCUGCCGGGAGGGAUGGGAGAGGAGAAUGAGAGACAACAAUGCACAAUCUCUGGGAAAUCUCUGAACGGCUCCACUCCAAGUUACCUCAGAGAUGUUCCUCUGAGCAGGGCUCUCUCCUUUCACCUGACCUCCCUGCUCUCCCCCAGCCCCUCAGAAUCAGUCCAAAAGACCCUCUCUGAGCACCGACGACUUUGGGCUUUGCCAGAUUCUGCUCCAUGAGCCACUGCGCUGGGCCCGGGAGUGUGGCCUGGGUCCUGCCAGGAGGGAUGGGACAGCAGUGG
RNAcentral lists this long non-coding RNA (1570 nucleotides) under Ornithorhynchus anatinus (platypus). RNAcentral describes it as "lncRNA (ENSOANG00000040879.1)". Lineage: Eukaryota; Metazoa; Chordata; Mammalia; Monotremata; Ornithorhynchidae. The record is from RNAcentral.